CGCGUAGGCGGACUGUUAAGUCAGAGGUGAAAUCCCAGAGCUCAACCCUGGAACUGCCUUUGAUACUGGCAGUCUCGAGUUCGAGAGAGGUGAGUGGAAUUCCGAGUGUAGAGGUGAAAUUCGUAGAUAUUCGGAGGAACACCAGUGGCGAAGGCGGCUCACUGGCUCGAUACUGACGCUGAGAUGCGAAAGUGUGGGGAGCAAACA
This 207-nucleotide ribosomal RNA is filed under the name uncultured bacterium. RNAcentral describes it as "partial 16S ribosomal RNA". It matches the Rfam family "Bacterial small subunit ribosomal RNA", at positions 568 to 774 of the family's 1533-position model. The record is from RNAcentral.